GAUGAACGCUGGCGGCGUGCCUAAUACAUGCAAGUCGAGCGAACGGACGAGAAGCUUGCUUCUCUGAUGUUAGCGGCGGACGGGUGAGUAACACGUGGAUAACCUACCUAUAAGACUGGGAUAACUUCGGGAAACCGGAGCUAAUACCGGAUAAUAUUUUGAACCGCAUGGUUCAAAAGUGAAAGACGGUCUUGCUGUCACUUAUAGAUGGAUCCUCGCUGCAUUAGCUAGUUGGUAAGGUAACGGCUUACCAAGGCAACGAUGCAUAGCCGACCUGAGAGGGUGAUCGGCCACACUGGAACUGAGACACGGUCCAGACUCCUACGGGAGGCAGCAGUAGGGAAUCUUCCGCAAUGGGCGAAAGCCUGACGGAGCAACGCCGCGUUAGUGAUGAAGGUCUUCGGAUCGUAAAACUCUGUUAUUAGGGAAGAACAUAUGUGUAAGUAACUGUGCACAUCUUGACGGUACCUAAUCAGAAAGCCACGGCUAACUACGUG
RNAcentral lists this ribosomal RNA (497 nucleotides) under uncultured bacterium. RNAcentral's name for it is "partial 16S ribosomal RNA". It matches the Rfam family "Bacterial small subunit ribosomal RNA", at positions 28 to 507 of the family's 1533-position model. The record is from RNAcentral.